Dreissena polymorpha is the source of this 339-nucleotide long non-coding RNA. RefSeq lists it as uncharacterized. Lineage: Eukaryota; Metazoa; Mollusca; Bivalvia; Myida; Dreissenidae. The transcript is spliced from 3 exons. The record is from RefSeq and is a predicted model, not a curated record.
ACCGCUUUGAAUACACUACUUGAAGUUUUUGUUAUUUUGAAUGCAUUUAAUGAUACAAAAUCAGUUAAGAUAUACACGAAAAUGGAUAUGUUAACGUUACAGACGUUAUUAGUUUUUACUGUCGGAAUAUACGAGGUUACAGCUGGUGAGUGGUGUUUCGUACAAAAAACAUUUGGUUCUGGAUCUGAGUAUCAAUACUGCAGUUGGGGAUGUUGCACCUUCAGCUAUCGGACUCAAUGCUGCACCGUCAACUAUACAACUAACUUGCAAACAAAUGUCGGAUUUUUUAUCGGCAAAAUUGUUGGGGGCGUGAUCGGUCUGAUAGUGCUGGUGUCGAUA